RNAcentral lists this ribosomal RNA (551 nucleotides) under uncultured Tomentella. RNAcentral describes it as "eukaryotic LSU rRNA". The stretch from base 77 to 231 matches the Rfam family "5.8S ribosomal RNA". Lineage: Eukaryota; Fungi; Basidiomycota; Agaricomycetes; Thelephorales; Thelephoraceae. The record is from RNAcentral.
CGUGGUCCUACGUCUUUACACACACACCGUAACAAAGUCUCAUGGAAUGUAUGCCGCGUUUAACGCAAUACAAUACAACUUUCAGCAACGGAUCUCUUGGCUCUCGCAUCGAUGAAGAACGCAGCGAAAUGCGAUAAGUAAUGUGAAUUGCAGAAUUCAGUGAAUCAUCGAAUCUUUGAACGCACCUUGCGCCCUUUGGCUAUUCUGAAGGGCAUGCCUGUUUGAGUAUCAUGAACACCUCAACUCUCAUGGUCCGCCAUGAUGAGCUUGGACUCUGGGGGUCUUGCCGGACCAGCGUCGGCUCCCCUAAAAUGGAUCAGCUUGCCAGUGUUUGGUGGCAUCACAGGUGUGAUAACUAUCUACGCAUGUGGUUCCCCGCCAUGUAACCUUCAGUGAUGGAGGUUCGCUGGAGCUCACAGAUGUCUCUCCUCGUGAGGACAGCUUUUUGAACGUUUGAUCUCAAAUCAGGUAGGACUACCCGCUGAACUUAAGCAUAUCAAUAAGCGGAGGAAAAGAAACUAACAAGGAUUCCCCUAGUAACUGCGAGUGAA